CGGAGCGCCAGCGAUGCCCUCUGCCCGCGGGGACCCGAGCCUCGCGCGCCCUCCGCCCUCCCUACCCUGGCCCCUGUACCCAUCACACCUGGGGCACUGCCGUCCGCCGAGCUUGGGCGCGCGGCGGCGAGAAGGCACUGGAGGAGGAGAAGCAGCCGGGGCGUAGGCGCCCUCGCCCCCAGCAGGCCGGGGAGGGCGCGCAUGGCGCCAGAGGGUCCGCCUCAGUUCUCGUGGAGACUGCUCCCUCAGCUCGCCGCCGCGGGUGUCCGGAAUCCCUCCGCACACUCGCAGGUGGCCCGGCACCCGCAGCCAGUGCCGCGGGCAGGACGCUGAAGAAAAGGCGGAAUGGGAGGGGCCCGGCCGCCUUGCCCUACUCCCCGAGACGCUCUUACCGCGCCCGGCCUUCCAUCAGUUAUGCAGCCCUCAGCCCGCUGCUGGCGUUCCCGGAUGUGCGGUGCUACUCCCGGCUGCAGCCUCUCCGGCCUCCGCCCUCUAGGCUCUAGCAGGUCGGGAGAGAGCUUGGGCAGGUGAUGUGUAGCCCAUCGCGUGGGGAGAGGUUGAAACUAUCCCUGCAGACUGGCCUUUGCACUUCAUCUGAGGCAGAUUUCACUAAUUUUCGUUGAUGGGACAGAUGAGAGACACUUUCCUCCUCCCCGACCCCGGACAUCUUUGGGCUUUCUUAUGAGGGAGGCUUAUUUUUGCGCAGGUGUAAGGUUUUAUCCAGCUGCCAGACAACUUGUACUGAUCUUUCUUUGCUUUGCCUACUAAUCACACACACCCUCUCUUCUAGCCUGUGAAGACUUAACUGAUUUUCUACGGAUGAAGGUUUCAGUGUCCCAAGGCCCCAUACCGUAUCUGAUUUUACUUUAUUUUUGUUUGUUAAGCCUAACAGCUUCUGAGGAGCCACGUAGAGCUCAAGAAGCAAAAGCUACUGAGAGUAGAUGCUAUGUAAACUGCACAAGACGUUGACCUUUGUUAAAUCCGAACACUGUUUAAGAUAAUGCUAUCUCUUACCCACGAGGCUGUAGCUUGGAAUAUUCAGUGCUCUGAA
Molecule: long non-coding RNA, 1051 nt
Filed under: Homo sapiens (human)
Lineage: Eukaryota; Metazoa; Chordata; Mammalia; Primates; Hominidae
Description: non-protein coding lnc-FAM72B-8:12
Source: RNAcentral